Long non-coding RNA from Pan troglodytes (chimpanzee), 2308 nucleotides. RefSeq lists it as uncharacterized. The record is from RefSeq and is a predicted model, not a curated record. The transcript has 4 exons. NCBI's taxonomy places the organism in Eukaryota, Metazoa, Chordata, Mammalia, Primates, Hominidae.
GAGCUAAAAUAUAAGUGAGGAGUGUGCACGGAUGCUGAAUGUUUGGGAAUGAGAGGAUAAAUGAGUGAUGCUUGAAAACACACCACAUUGAAAAUCCUGCCACGGCAGCAGCUGCAGCCACCAACAGCAGCGCUGUUAGUGACCUAAGUAAGCACCGACUUCGUAGAAACCAGAACAUCAGCCAUCCUGGAAAAGAGAAAAACAAUGGAGUCACUUAUUUAAGAAAAACAAAAAACAAACAAAAACAAACAAAAAAAACCACAACUAUUUCUUCCCAGGAGAGGCUAGAAGUAGCUUUUCUGCCUUCUGGCUGGAGCCAAUUGGAAUGACUGGUUUGGGCGAGGAGGAGGGGUUGUGUCAGCUGUGGUGCUUUGUUGUAAAAGGCAGCCUGACCUUUGCUACUGAGGAGAAAGAUGGAGCCGAGUCUCAAGCCCCCCUUCUCUGUAUCUUUGCCAGAUGGUACUGUAUGCCUGCCAGCUAGAAGGAAGAAUGUGAGCUCUGCAGUGUCAGGUGUCUUGAAACUGGAUCAUGCACCCAGAGAUGCUCUCCUGAGGCCCAGACCACCACUGCCAGCCAUGGGGGAGGAGUGGCGUUGGCGAUUCAGGACUGCUUUUUCUGUCUCUUCAGUGCCUCUCUCAGCAACAUGAAGGUAAAACCAGGUUACACCUGUGGCCACAUGGAGGAGUCCUAAAUGACCAACUGAAGGAGAAGCAAAAAACCGAAGCAUGGCUUAUAAUGGGCCUGCUCAGUGUUUAGGCGCCAGCCAAAAAUGGGCAGCAGCUACCUUGCAGCCACACUCCAGGGUGAACUUGCAAGACUUCAACAAAUGGUACAUCUGUUCAGGUACUUUGUGUAGAAGGAAAAAUGAUCUGAGGUGAGCUGAAAUUAUUUUGAUUUUUAUCUGACAGAGGACAGGAGCCACAUUUUAAUCAUUUCCACAUCCCUACCACCAAAGAAGGACUCCACAAAUGUCUGUAUUUGAAUAGAGUGCCUAUUUAUGAUUAUCUCAUUGAAUAGAAAUAUAUUUGCCAUUUUAACAGAGAGUAAUGUAAUGAUGUCUUCUUACUUCUUACCUCCAAGUUUUUAUAAUCUUGGUAAUAAAGGCAAAGGCAUAAGAUGACUUGCCUGAAGAUAAAUGUAGUUGUAAUAGCAUUUCACUUAGGUUUGAGUGAGUAUGUCUGUCCUAAGAGUUUUUGUGAACUAUAAACUUCUUUAGAAGAAGAGACUUUCAAUAUAGAAUUUUUCUUACCGCCCCCCCCCCCCGCAAAAAAAGCAUAAAAAUGAAACAUAAAUAAAAUGCUCUAUCCAUGAGGGGCUGAACUUAGAAUGUAGAUCCUCUGAUUCAAGGUUGGAGGUUAGACUACCCCCACUGGGCUUUGGAGAAAUCCAACUGCAGUAACAGAAAAUAGCUCUUGACAGCUUCUCAGUACCUUUGACUGCUGGGUGCGAAGAACCCAGCUCGUCAUUAUGCUUUCCAGAGAGGGAGCUGGAGUUGGAGAGCAUAGUCUCCACUUUCCUGUUGGUAAUUUCUAUUCCUAUGGAGCAAAGGAAUGACAGUGACCUAUAAGGUCCCUGGUGGUGUGAGACUAGGGCCAGAAGGUCAGUGAGAAAAAGAACACUGCAUUAGUUUGAAUCUAUAUGGAAGGGAUGAAAAAUGUAAGAAAGUCAAACACUCUGAAUCUUAUACCACAGCAUGCAUUUAAAAUAAAAUAGUAAUGAAUAUGUAUUGUUUGAAAGUUUAGAAUAGUUUUGAACAUAUCAAUUUAUUUGAUGUAAUCUUCAAGACAUUUCUGUGUGGCAAGUAUUGCCAUUUCUAAUUCUAUAUGUGGACUCAGAGGAGCUAAUAACUUUCUCAAUAUCAUCCAGCAAUUGAGUAGUGAAGAAAGCAAGAAUAGUAGUUUCCAUCAAGAUCUUAAAUUUACAUCUUUUCUUUCCUUUUCUUCUGGCAAUGGGUAAACAUAAACAGGGGAGUACUGGCAGUAAUUGUGGUUUUAGAACAAUGUGGGUAACUUCAUGCACAAGACAAGAUGGAUGUCACCAUUAAAAAUAAAUACAGUAGAAAAUAUAAUCAUUCCUUUGGGCCAUUUAUACUUAAAUGAAAGAGUAUAGAAAAUUUAGAGUCUUGCAUGUGAGCCCAGACACUAAAUUAUUCCAAUAUGUACAUAUUUGGGAACAUCUACAUUACUAAUUGCUCUACUGGCUUCCAAGUGGAGAAAUUUUAUCCAAAAGUUGCUUAGUAAUUACUUUAUCUUUGAGAAUUGGCAUUCCUUGAUUGUCUGAUAUGCUUUGUUAAUAAUGAAAAUACUUC